Long non-coding RNA from Galeopterus variegatus (Sunda flying lemur), 727 nucleotides. RefSeq lists it as uncharacterized. The record is from RefSeq and is a predicted model, not a curated record. NCBI's taxonomy places the organism in Eukaryota, Metazoa, Chordata, Mammalia, Dermoptera, Cynocephalidae. The transcript is spliced from 3 exons.
CAUAAUCUUUUGAGUGCCCCAAGGCUUCUGGAUCUAAACUCUUAAUUUGUUCUAAGUAAUUACAUUCAAGAAUUGACCGUUGUUCGAAGCAAUGAAAAUGAAGGUUUUGUUUGGCCUAUAUGCUCUGCUUCCAGGGCAAGAUGCCAAGUCUCUGAGCAUGUCUGGGCAUGAAGAAGGGACCAGAAGAAGGGACCUUUGUGGUCCAGGAGCUUGCACCUUUGAAUGGAUAUUAAACGGAUUUUAUGGCAUGCUGUGAGCACAGACCUGACUCACUGCAUACAGCUCAGCUGGACAGGAAUCUAAAUCAGGAAGCUGCAAGUUAGCAUUACCAGAAUGAAGAAGGAGAGAGAGAGGGAGAUGCUGUCACCUAAGAAAUGAAACUGCCACCGCUAACAAAACCAGGAAUGGGACACUAGCACAGGACACAGAAGCGGGGCUCCAAAGACCACAGCGCAUAGUUUGGGUAAAACAACAGUGCCCUCUUCUGGCGACAAUGAAGAACGAAUUACUGUUCAGAAGGGUCUGACAACAUUCACAACCAACUUACUGAAAAAGAAAAAACUAUAAGGCCCCUGAUUUUCUGUCCUCUGAAACACCAGCUUUGGACACCUGGCACAUACACAGUGGAUUCACAAGAAGAAGAGAGGAAAUAAAUUGCUUGGUUUACUUUGCUUCGUGUUGACAGAUGUGAUAAAGGUGUGACAAAUGGGAAGCUGGAAUCAAUUGA